AGCGAACGCUGGCGGCAGGCCUAACACAUGCAAGUCGAGCGCCGUAGCAAUACGGAGCGGCAGACGGGAGAGUAACACGUGGGAACGUACCCUUUGGUUCGGAACAACCCAGGGAAACUUGGGCUAAUACCGGAUAAGCCCUUACGGGGAAAGAUUCAUCGCCGAAGGAUCGGCCCGCGUCUGAUUAGCUAGUUGGUGGGGUAAUGGCCCACCAAGGCGACGAUCAGUAGCUGGUCUGAGAGGAUGAUCAGCCUCACUGGGACUGAGACACGGCCCAGACUCCUACGGGAGGCAGCAGUGGGGAAUAAUGGACAAUGGGCGCAAGCCUGAUCCAGCCAUGCCGCGUGGGUGAUGAAGGCCCUAGGGUUGUAAAGCCCUUUCGGCGGGGAAGAUAAUGACGGUACCCGCAGAAGAAGCCCCGGCUAACUUCGUGCCAGCCGCCGCAGUAA
RNAcentral lists this ribosomal RNA (449 nucleotides) under uncultured bacterium. Its description in RNAcentral is "partial 16S ribosomal RNA". It matches the Rfam family "Bacterial small subunit ribosomal RNA", at positions 29 to 523 of the family's 1533-position model. The record is from RNAcentral.